This 649-nucleotide long non-coding RNA is filed under the name Fukomys damarensis (Damara mole-rat). RNAcentral's name for it is "lncRNA (ENSFDAG00000032096.1)". Lineage: Eukaryota; Metazoa; Chordata; Mammalia; Rodentia; Bathyergidae. The record is from RNAcentral.
CAGAUCUCCUGGAGAAUGCACAUUGGUGUUUUUAUUAUCACAGUGGCUGAAGAGCUCAGUUUUGAACCUUGGAGGCUGGUGGUUCUAUGGUAGCCCAAGCAACUUCAUGCCUUUGUCAAGAUGCUAGGUCAGGUCACCGGGUCACUGGGUGGCUGCACCAGUGAAAGACAUUAUCUUAUGUAGCCCAGAAACUUCCUAGUGACCAGGAUGCAGUAGAGGUACCUAGAAGAUUUAGCAUAGUCACUGUCAAAACUAUUGCAUUGAGCGUUCUUGGAGGAAGAAAGGCCACACAUUACAUUCUGUUUUCACUGUCUUUGUUACUGCCCCCUAGCAACCUCACCACACUCCUGUACUCUUCUGAACACUGCAAAGAUUGCCCCCAGAAUUCUUAGGAGUUCCUGUGGGGACUUCCUAAAUCAAGUACCAAGAAAUGCUUGGGCAAGUAAAACUAAGGAGGUUGAUAGAAAUAGGGUAGUUAUGUUCAACAGUUCAACAAAACUGAAAGAGAGAUCAGAAAAGGGGCCCACUGCACACCUUUUCUGCUCCAGGCAUUAAGUUAGGUUCCAGAGAUUCAACAAAGCACCUUCUGCCUUGUGGAGCCCUCAGUCAGAUAAUCAGGACAAUUUGCCACAUAAAUGCCAAAGACAAC